Neofelis nebulosa (Clouded leopard) is the source of this 1167-nucleotide RNA transcript. It is a transcript of the gene named DnaJ heat shock protein family (Hsp40) member C17, with no coding region annotated. The record is from RefSeq and is a predicted model, not a curated record. The transcript has 11 exons. Lineage: Eukaryota; Metazoa; Chordata; Mammalia; Carnivora; Felidae.
CGCUUCCCUCAUAGACAGUCAAGCCUGAUCCAGAACACGACAUUUCCCAGGGGGCUAAGCGCCAUUCAGCUCGCUGGCGACGACAGUCCCUGGGAAUCCCUACGCACGCUUAGACUCUUGGGAGUUGUAGUACGAAUCCAGUCAGGAUUGGAACCAUGGCGGUGACCAAGGAGCUCUUACAGAUGGACCUGUACGCCCUACUAGGUAUCGAGGAGAAAGCAGCGGACAAAGAGGUGAAGAAGGCAUAUAGGCAGAAGGCCCUCUCCUGCCACCCAGACAAAAAUCCAGAUAAUCCCAGAGCAGCUGAGCUCUUCCACCAGCUUUCUCAGGCCUUGGAGGUACUGACCGAUGCUGCAGCCAGGGCUGCAUAUGACAAGGUCAGGAAAGCCAAGAAGCAGGCAGCAGAGAGAACCCAGAAACUUGAUGAGAGAAGAAAGAAAGUGAAGCUUGACCUGGAGGCCCGGGAACGGCAGGCCCAGGCCCACGGCAGUGAGGAGGAGGAGGAGAGCCGGAGCACCAGGACGCUAGAGCAGGAGAUCGAACGCCUUCGAGAAGAGGGUUCCCGGCAGCUGGAGGAACAACAGAGGCUGAUCCAGGAGCAGAUACGCCAGGAACGGGAGCAGAGGUUGAGAGGAAAGGCAGAAAAUCCAGAAGGCAGAGGAACCCCCAAGCUAAAGCUAAAAUGGAAGUGCAAGAAGGAAGAUGAGUCGAAAGGCAGCUACUCCAGAGAUGUCCUCCUACAGCUUUUCCAGAAGUACGGAGAGGUGCUCAACCUGGUGCUUUCCAGCAAGAAGGCUGGCACCGCUGUGGUGGAGUUUGCGACCGUCAAGGCUGCGGACCAGGUGCUCUGUCUGACAGGAGCUGGCUGUCCAAAACGAAGUGGGCCUGAUCGAUAACCCCCUGAAGAUUUCCUGGUUGGAGGGACGGCCCCAGGGCACACGGGGCCCCAGCCACCCAGGACUGUCACAGGGCUCAGUGCUGUCUGAGAGGGACUAUGAGAGCCUCGUCAUGAUGCGCAUGCGCCAGGCCGCUGAGCGGCAACAGCUGAUCGCCCAGAUGGAGCAGGAGGACGAGGUGCGGCAGCCCACAUAGCCUCCUGCCUCCAGCCCACUCCCCUCCAAAGCCCUCGUCUUCCACGGCACCAAUAAAGUUUGGGGUUUUUUGUUU